UCGUGCUAUUAGAAAUAGUAAGAAAAUUGAAGGAGUUGUGUUUAGGACAAGAGAAGCUUUUCUUCCAAAGAAGAUGUGGCUGAUCAUGAAGGUUUUCCUCUUGCAAAUUUUAGCAUUUCUACUUUUUGGUGGUGGCAUCUAUUGCCAAGCUUCAACCCGGCUUACUUUUGUGGUGAGGGAAGCUUCAUAUACAAGGCUUUGUAGCACCAAGAACAUCUUAACAGUAAAUGGACAAUUUCCAGGACCAACUAUAUAUGCUAAGAAAGAAGAGACGAUCAUUGUCGACGUUUAUAACAAAGGAAAAGAAAACAUCACCAUUCACUGGCAUGGGGUGAGCAUGCCUAGAUAUCCAUGGACAGAUGGUCCCGAGUAUAUCACAUAAUGCCCAAUUCAACCAGGGUCAAAAUUUAGCCAAAAGAUCAUCCUUUCCUUUGAGGAAGGCACUCUAUGGUGGCAUGCUCACAGUGAUUGGACCCGAGCCACCGUCCAUGGAGCUAUAAUCAUCUAUCCCAAGAAUGGAACCAAGUAUCCUUUUCCCAAGCCUAAUGCAGAAGUUCCCAUCAUAUUAGGACAAUGGUGGAAGAGUGAUGUUAAUGUGGUUCGAGAUGAAGCACUUACAACUGGAGCUGACCCCAAUGUCUCUAAUUCUUUAUUGAUAAAUGGACAACUUGGUGAUCUAUGCCAUGCUCAAAAUCAGGUACAAAUUAAGUUUAACUUCCCAUUUUAAAAUUGUACACGAUUUCAUUUUCUUGUUAGUUGACCAUAUUACUUUUUCUUAUUAACAUCAACAUAUUUAAAGCUUAAUGCUAAAAAAGAGGAAUAUAGCUACCCCAAAAUGGACUUUUAAACACUAGGUACAUCUUUAAGAAAAUUUGGUAUAUCUUAUCCUCUGGCUACCCCAUAUCGCUUCUUAUGGUCCAUUUGAUCAUUUAAAGACCAUUUAGAAGUGAUUUCAAAGUCGUUCCUCAUCUCAUAAUGGACUUUGGAACCCUAGGUACAUCCUUAAGAAAAUUUGGUACAUCCAAUCAUCGGGCUACUAGGACCCCUAUCACCCUUCCCAUGGUCCGUUUGUUCCUUUAGGAACCCUUGGGAAGUGAUUGGAUGUCAUUCGCCACCUUGGAAUAAACAUUGGAACCCUAAGUACAUCCUUAAGAAAUUUUGAAACAUGUAAUCCUUGGGCUAACGAGACACCUAUCUCCCUUCCCAUGGUCUAUUUAUUUCUUUUAGAGACCAUCAGAAAGUGAUUGGAGGUCAUUCCCCACAUUGGAACGGACUUUGGCACCCUUGGUACAUCAUUUACAAAAUUUAGUACAUCAUUUACAAAAUUUGGUACAUCAUUCACAAAAU
Molecule: long non-coding RNA, 1347 nt
Organism: Vitis riparia (riverbank grape)
Lineage: Eukaryota; Viridiplantae; Streptophyta; Magnoliopsida; Vitales; Vitaceae
Exons: 4
Source: RefSeq, a predicted model, not a curated record